This 247-nucleotide ribosomal RNA is filed under the name uncultured bacterium. RNAcentral describes it as "partial 16S ribosomal RNA". It matches the Rfam family "Bacterial small subunit ribosomal RNA", at positions 523 to 769 of the family's 1533-position model. The record is from RNAcentral.
AUACGGGGGAUCCAAGCGUUAUCCGGAUUUAUUGGGUUUAAAGGGAGCGUAGGUGGACGUAUAAGUCAGUUGUGAAAGUUUGCGGCUCAACCGUAAAAUUGCAGUUGAUACUGUAUGUCUUGAGUGUACAAGAGGUGGGCGGAAUUCGUGGUGUAGCGGUGAAAUGCAUAGAUAUCACGCAGAACUCCGAUUGCGAAGGCAGCUUACUAAGCUACAACUGACACUGAAGCACGAAAGCGUGGGGAUC